AUUAAGCCAUGCAUGUCUAAGUACACACGAAUUAAAAGUGAAACCGCAAAAGGCUCAUUAUAUCAGUUAUGGUUCCUUAGAUCGUUAACAGUUACUUGGAUAACUGUGGUAAUUCUAGAGCUAAUACAUGCAAUAUAAACACGGACCUUUGGGACGUGUGCUUUUAUUAGGCUAAAACCAAGCGAUCGCAAGAUCGUUAUUAUGGUUGAACUCUAGAUAACUUGCUGAUCGUAUGGUCUUGUACCGACGACAGAUCUUUCAAAUGUCUGCCCUAUCAACUUUUGAUGGUAGUAUCUAGGACUACCAUGGUUGCAACGGGUAACGGGGAAUCAGGGUUCGAUUCCGGAGAGGGAGCCUGAGAAACGGCUACCACAUCUAAGGAAGGCAGCAGGCGCGUAAAUUACCCACUCCCAGCUCGGGGAGGUAGUGACGAAAAAUAACAAUACAGGACUCAUAUUAGAGGCCCUGUAAUUGGAAUGAGUACACUUUAAAUCCUUUAACAAGGACCUAUUGGAGGGCAAGUCUGGUGCCAGCAGCCGCGGUAACUCCAGCUCCAAUAGCGUAUAUUAAAGUUGUUGCGGUUAAAACGUUCGUAGUUGAACUUGUGCUUCAUACGGGUAGUACAACUAUAAUUGUAGUUUGUACUGUACCUUAUGUAUGUAAGCGUAUUACCGGUGGAGUUCUUAUAUGUAUUAAAUACUUGUAUUUAUGCAUAUUCCUCCUAUUUAAACCUGCUUCAGUGCUCUUCAUCGAGUGUUGUUGUGGGCCGGUACAAUUACUUUGAACAAAUUAGAGUGCUUAAAGCAGGCUCCAAAUGCCUGAAUAUUUUGUGCAUGGAAUAAUGAAAUAAGACCUCUGUUCUACUUUCAUUGGUUUUUAGAUCAAGAGGUAAUGAUUAAUAGAAGCAGUUUGGGGGCAUUAGUAUUACGACGCGAGAGGUGAAAUUCUUGGACCGUCGUAAGACUAACUUAAGCGAAAGCAUUUGCCCAAGAUGUUUUCAUUAAUCAAGAACGAAAGUUAGAGGU
Molecule: ribosomal RNA, 1025 nt
Filed under: Lucilia sericata (common green bottle fly)
Lineage: Eukaryota; Metazoa; Arthropoda; Insecta; Diptera; Calliphoridae
Description: SSU rRNA
Rfam family: Eukaryotic small subunit ribosomal RNA
Source: RNAcentral